CUCAAUCACACUUUUUAAUUUUUAAGUCUUCAUGUGUGUCUAAUAGUUAUUUUAUUUUACACUUCUAUCUUUCAAAUCUAAAGUGUGUGUGUGUGUGAGAUGUAUGGCUAUAUUUUAUUUUAUCUCAUCUCUCGUCUUAUACGAAAGUGCUCUCACCAUUGCUGUUUUUUCUUUUAACCCCUUAAGGUCCACCAGGAUAUAGCCAAUCCAUUAAGAACCAGUCUGGCCCUUAUAGACCCUGUGCCAAUAUGGAACGUCUUGCAUAUUUUGCACGUCCAGCUAUGGCUCUUUAAACUGGGGUUUGUUGUGAUGUAUAUUUAGGGGGUCCAGCCAGUGUUGUGUAUAAUGGACAUUCCUAUCAGCGCAAAUACCUGUAAGAAAUGCAUUCACUAAAUAUGAAAUUGCACAUUUUGCCAGAAAAAGUUGAGCAGAAGUUACUUUCCCCCAAAUUGAUCUGUUUUUGGCCUAAAAUGUGCAGCUUAGUUUAGUGAAUAUAACCAAUUCAUACACCAAGCCCUGAACCAGGUUCUGUAUUUAAACACAAACAGCCAGAUAUACUGCAGUCAGUGGAAAGCUGAUAACAAUAACCUGAUAAAGUGCAGCCUCCGUAUUCAAUGGAAAUAAUCCGAAUAUUUGUGGCUAAAACGUGUUUUUUGAGGAUGGUGACAUCAGCCCCCUAUAGCCAGGUACAGAUUGUACAACUGAUACUGUAGAGUAUGUGUGAUGGACAGGUGUCCUUAUAACUGGGACACUAAUUCUGGACUCAGUAGUCCUUUGGCUAGCACCACUAAAGUGCCUGUCAUUGUAGUGACAGCCUAGAUCUGUCAGGGUAUUCCUGCUGUAAGGCAGCCUUCAUUGCAUGGACCUGUUUGUUUUUUGUCACCAAGCCUGACUUUGCACAAAACAUGUUCUAAGGCUGUGUUCUUCCCAUACUAAAUUUAGUCUUUGUGUAGAGGAGGGGCAUCUGAGUGAACACGUAAUUGGUAGUAAUUUUAGCUGUGAGAUAAAGGAAUGCAUGUCAUCUGGUGUAAGCUUCUUCUUCAAACCCCUCUAUUUAUAGAAGUGUGCAUGGUGCUGAUAAAAGAACCACUUUUUUUUUGCUUGUUAUUUUUAAAAUGAACUUGGAUUUGGUCCUACAAAUCUUGUUUAAAAUGAUGCUAGUAAAAAGUGUGUGUGUGUGUUCUUGGAGCACAGCUGGGUUUAUGCCUGGUCCAGAUGUUGCUAAUGGCUGUUUAAGCAAGGAUGGGCAGAUAGCAUAUGUCAUGCAACAUGUUUCCAUAUGGUCCAAUUAGCCCCUCACCCUUCUUCAUAUCAAUCAUAUACAUUGUAUUGGGAGAUUCAUGAUGCUUGGGAAUUUUAUUUUUCCUCCUCUUCUCAUCAUAAUCUGAUAUAAUCCUGCCAUCACACUUCUAUAUAUAUAUAUUUUUUUUUAAAUUAAAGGUCAUUGUGCAGAUAUCUUCCACCUAGCAUUGGUUGUCUCUUGUGUGUGUUAGUUUUUUUCUGUAUUGAAAGGUUUAACAGUUUUUUUGUUUUUUGUUUUUUUUUUGUCCCUUAAGCCAAUAUUCUCAUUGUUUUGUAUAUUUAUUUGAAAUGAGUUUUAUUUUUAUUGCGAAUGAUACAUUUAAUAGCUCUUGAUCUCACAUCGUUUUCACCUUCAUCCCAAAAGAAGCUAUAUUGAAACAUCACACCCCCAUAUUUACACACUGCCCAUACAUUUUUUAAUUUUGUUUUUUACAUGCAAACAUAAGGAUUGCGAUAUAUAGGCAAACCAGCUACUAAUGGUCCCACAAUGUUGCCAAUAUUAUGUGUUGGUUUCUAUGGUGAUUUCCUCUUAUUUUCGACUUUGAGAAAUGUCCCCCAUAGAGUUGUAAUCCGUCAAGACAAAUGUAUUUCUCGCCAUGCUUAUUUCCAUUAAACAGUUAAAAUAGAUGUUAGUUAAAUAUGGACUAUUUUGGUAAUCACAAAAUUAUCCCUGUAUUAAUCAUCAAUAAAGUUACUUAGUCUAUCAUUGUUGUCACCUAGUCAAUUCAUAUUUUGGCUUCUCUGAAAAGGCAUGCAAGUUGUUAUCAUAAGAAAAAAGGAAUGAAAUGUAAAGGUUACAGUGAGUGCAUAUCACAGAAAUCUAAUGCUAAUUCACAUGGUUUUCUGUAACCCACUGACUGCUGGGUAAUUGUUUUCCAAUCUGACGCUCUGUGGGUUAAGAUUGGGGAUUCAUUAAUUAUAAACCAGCAAAAUUGUUG
Pelobates cultripes (western spadefoot toad) is the source of this 2240-nucleotide non-coding RNA. Lineage: Eukaryota; Metazoa; Chordata; Amphibia; Anura; Pelobatidae. The record is from the annotation of a GenBank genome assembly.